This 497-nucleotide ribosomal RNA is filed under the name uncultured bacterium. Its description in RNAcentral is "partial 16S ribosomal RNA". It matches the Rfam family "Bacterial small subunit ribosomal RNA", at positions 28 to 507 of the family's 1533-position model. The record is from RNAcentral.
GAUGAACGCUGGCGGCGUGCCUAAUACAUGCAAGUCGAGCGAACGGACGAGAAGCUUGCUUCUCUGAUGUUAGCGGCGGACGGGUGAGUAACACGUGGAUAACCUACCUAUAAGACUGGGAUAACUUCGGGAAACCGGAGCUAAUACCGGAUGAUAUUUUGAACCGCAUGGUUCAAAAGUGAAUGACGGUCUUGCUGUCACUUAUAGAUGGAUCCGCGCUGCAUUAGCUAGUUGGUAAGGUAACGGCUUACCAAGGCAACGAUGCAUAGCCGACCUGAGAGGGUGAUCGGCCACACUGGAACUGAGACACGGUCCAGACUCCUACGGGAGGCAGCAGUAGGGAAUCUUCCGCAAUGGGCGAAAGCCUGACGGAGCAACGCCGCGUGAGUGAUGAAGGUCUUCGGAUCGUAAAACUCUGUUAUUAGGGAAGAACAGAUGUGGAAGUAACUGUGCACAUCUUGACGGUACCUAAUCAGAAAGCCACGGCUAACUACGUG